RNAcentral lists this ribosomal RNA (491 nucleotides) under uncultured bacterium. Its description in RNAcentral is "partial 16S ribosomal RNA". It matches the Rfam family "Bacterial small subunit ribosomal RNA", at positions 29 to 506 of the family's 1533-position model. The record is from RNAcentral.
AGUGAACGCUGGCGGUAGGCCUAACACAUGCAAGUCGAACGGCAGCACAGUAAGAGCUUGCUCUUACGGGUGGCGAGUGGCGGACGGGUGAGGAAUACAUCGGAAUCUACUUUUUCGUGGGGGGUAACGUAGGGAAACUUACGCUAAUACCGCAUACGACCUACGGGUGAAAGCAGGGGAUCUUCGGACCUUGCGCGAUUGAAUGAGCCGAUGUCGGAUUAGCUAGUUGGCGGGGUAAAGGCCCACAAAGGCGACGAUCCGUAGCUGGUCUGAGAGGAUGAUCAGCCACACUGGAACUGAGACACGGUCCAGACUCCUACGGGAGGCAGCAGUGGGGAAUAUUGGACAAUGGGCGCAAGCCUGAUCCAGCCAUACCGCGUGGGUGAAGAAGGCCUUCGGGUUGUAAAGCCCUUUUGUUGGGAAAGAAAAGCAGCAGGUUAAUACCCCGCUGUUCGGACGGUACCCAAAGAAUAAACACCGGCUAACUUCGU